UGAAAGAACCUUAGUGAGCGCGCUCACAUACCCCACGUCCCCACAUUGUCAUUGGAGAAAUAAAAUAAGUGUAAGAAAAAAAAAUUGUAUCAGAAAAAAAAAUUGAAUCAUAAUUUCCUGACAAUAUGCACAUCUACAUAGUAUGUCCUUAUUAUCUACACAGUUUCAUGAAAUUCUGUUGUGUUGUUUGAGAGGAGUUGCGAUGACAAAAGGUUGCAGUAGUAUAUUGGGCAAAUAAGUUCAAAGGGCGUAACUCCUGGAAAAAAAAUUCAAUCGUAAUUUCCUGUCGAUAUGCACAUCUACAUAGUAUGUCCUUAUUAUCUGAAAAGGUUUCAUGAAAUUCUGUUGUGUGGUUUGAGAGGAGUUGCGAUGACAAGAAACAGGACUGACGAACUGACAGACGGACAGA
Mytilus californianus (California mussel) is the source of this 409-nucleotide long non-coding RNA. RefSeq lists it as uncharacterized. The record is from RefSeq and is a predicted model, not a curated record. The transcript has 3 exons. NCBI's taxonomy places the organism in Eukaryota, Metazoa, Mollusca, Bivalvia, Mytilida, Mytilidae.